Molecule: ribosomal RNA, 497 nt
Filed under: uncultured bacterium
Lineage: Bacteria
Description: partial 16S ribosomal RNA
Rfam family: Bacterial small subunit ribosomal RNA
Source: RNAcentral
GAUGAACGCUGGCGGCGUGCCUAAUACAUGCAAGUCGAGCGGACGGACGCGAAGCUUGCUUCUCUGAUGUUAGCGGCGGGCGUGUGUGUAACACGUGGAUACCCUCCCUGUAAGACGGGGAUCACUUCGGGACACCGGAGCUUAUCCCGUAUGAUCUUUUGAUCCGCAUGGUUCAAAAGUGAAAGACGGUCUUGCUGUCACUUAUAGAUGCAUCCGGGCUGCAUUAGCUGGUUGGUAAGGUAACGGCUUACUACGGCAACGAUGCAUAGCCGACCUGAUAGGCGGAUAGGCCACACUGGAGCGGAGACAGGGUCCAUACUCCUACGGGAGGCAGCAGUCGGGUACCUGCGGCAAUGGGCGAAAGCCUGACGGAGCAACGCGGCGCGUGUGAUAAAGGUGUCCGGAUCGUAAAACCCGGUUAUGAGGUAAGAACAGCUGUGGAAGGAAACGUGCACAGCGUGACGGUACCUAAUCAGAAAGCCACGGCUAACUACGUG